This 1008-nucleotide ribosomal RNA is filed under the name uncultured marine eukaryote. Its description in RNAcentral is "bacterial SSU rRNA". It matches the Rfam family "Eukaryotic small subunit ribosomal RNA", at positions 410 to 1258 of the family's 1831-position model. The record is from RNAcentral.
CACCAACUAAGGUUGGCAGCAGGCGCGCAAAUUGCCCAAUAGCAACAUCUAGCUGAGGCAGCGAAGAGAAAUAGCAACUUCAUGCGGCCCUGCCGUGUGAAGAUUGCCAUGGACGAUAUAUAAACCUGUCGGUGAGUAUCAAUUGGUGGACAAGUCUGGUACCAGCACCCGCGGUAAUUCCAGCACCAAUAGCGUAUAUUAAUGCUGCUGCUGUUAAAAAGCUCGUAGUUGGAUCAAGAGUUCGACAGUGCUAGGUGGCCUCGCUUGCUAACUUAGCUCCGGUCAUGUUAGCGGCGGCGGAUCAACCCCUAGCGUCAAACUGUCGUCUCUAACAGACCGAAGCGGUUCCCUGUGAGUAGGCCACUUUACUGGGGCUGAAAGCGUUUACGCAUCAACCACAUGCAUACGGGACGUCGGUCAAAGUUACUGUGAACAAACCAGCGUGUCCAAAGCAGGCUUGCCUGAAUGUUCGAGCAUGGAAUAACAAGGGAUCGAUUAUAUCGGUUCUUUUUGUUGGUUUUUAACCCGAGAAGGAGUAAUGCAGGCCACUGUGUCUGAGGUGGGUUUCCCUAGGCUUCGGUUUAGGCCCCAUCUAGGCCGUGUCCUUACGGGAUCAAUAGGGACUGACGGGGUCGUACCUACUUCCGCGUCAGAGGUGAAAUUCUUAGAUCGUGGGAAGAGGAACUUCUGCGAAAGCAUUCGACAAGAAUGUCUUCAUUAAUCAAGAACGAGAGUGUGGGGAUCGAAGAUGAUCAGAUACCGUCGUAGUCCACACUGUAAACAAUGCCGUCUCAGGAUUGAGAAGUGAACAGAAUGACUUUCACAGCACUAACCCCUGAAACGAGACAUCAAAGCUUAUGGGUUCAGGGGGGAGUACAUUCGCAAGGCUGAAACUUAAAGGAAUUGACGGAAUGACACCACAAGGCGUGGAGUAUGUGGCUUAAUUUGACUCAACACGGGAAAACUUACCAGGUUAGACAUAGCUAGGAUUGACAGAUUGAUAGCUCA